Molecule: ribosomal RNA, 741 nt
Filed under: Massilia sp. MJ312
Lineage: Bacteria; Pseudomonadati; Pseudomonadota; Betaproteobacteria; Burkholderiales; Oxalobacteraceae
Description: bacterial SSU rRNA
Rfam family: Bacterial small subunit ribosomal RNA
Source: RNAcentral
CAACCUGGCGGCGAGUGGCGAACGGGUGAGUAAUAUACCGGAACGUACCCAAGAGUGGGGGAUAACGUAGCGAAAGUUACGCUAAUACCGCAUACGAUCUAUGGAUGAAAGCAGGGGACCGCAAGGCCUUGUGCUCCUGGAGCGGCCGAUAUCUGAUUAGCUAGUUGGUAGGGUAAAGGCCUACCAAGGCUACGAUCAGUAGCUGGUCUGAGAGGACGACCAGCCACACUGGAACUGAGACACGGUCCAGACUCCUACGGGAGGCAGCAGUGGGGAAUUUUGGACAAUGGGCGCAAGCCUGAUCCAGCAAUGCCGCGUGAGUGAAGAAGGCCUUCGGGUUGUAAAGCUCUUUUGUCAGGGAAGAAACGGUUCCGGCUAAUAUCUGGGGCUAAUGACGGUACCUGAAGAAUAAGCACCGGCUAACUACGUGCCAGCAGCCGCGGUAAUACGUAGGGUGCAAGCGUUAAUCGGAAUUACUGGGCGUAAAGCGUGCGCAGGCGGUUUUGUAAGUCUGUCGUGAAAGCCCCGGGCUCAACCUGGGAAUUGCGAUGGAGACUGCAAGGCUUGAAUCUGGCAGAGGGGGGUAGAAUUCCACGUGUAGCAGUGAAAUGCGUAGAGAUGUGGAGGAACACCGAUGGCGAUGCAGCCCCCUGGGUCAAGAUUGACGCUCAUGCACGAAAGCGUGGGGAGCAAACAGGAUUAGAUACCCUGGUAGUCCACGCCCUAAACGAUGUCUACUAG